This 1058-nucleotide long non-coding RNA is filed under the name Dromaius novaehollandiae (emu). RNAcentral's name for it is "lncRNA (ENSDNVG00000012789.1)". Lineage: Eukaryota; Metazoa; Chordata; Aves; Casuariiformes; Dromaiidae. The record is from RNAcentral.
GCCUUAGCAACGGCGCCGCUGCGGCCCCGCGCUUUCCCCGCCGCGCCGCUCUGUGCCUCGGGCGGCGGCACCGGGCCCGACCCCGCGCUCCGGCGGCAGCAGCGCGGCCUCCUCCGUGCCGGGCAGCGACCGGCUCCCUCCCGCCAGGUACAAUGUUUGCGGGGCCGGGAGCGCCUGGCCGUUAACGGGGUCGGUACCGUUUGCGGCAGGGCUGUCGCUCCGGCGGGUCUAGUCAGCGUCCGUGUCGGGGUGUGCCGGCUCCCGCAGGGGGCUUGGCUGCUGUUUGUGCUUCCUGCUCGGUCUCACAGUCCAGGCUUUUCGUCCUUUGUGCGUCGUUCCGGUGUGCCGCUUCGGAAACAGUCGUGUUCUGAGGUGUUUUGGAGCCUAGCGCAGGGCACGUGGCCUAAUCAGGAAAAAAAAACUGGAAUGCAGAAGGUUGACAAUAACUUGAAGUUURUUAAAUGACAUGAAGCAAGUCAAGUUGGCUGAAAUUUUACCUGUGAACUGAUCAGCAUUGUAUUGUUUUAUCUACUUUGUUGAACUUCUUCAGAGUCUUCAUGGCAAGAGAUGACGCAGCAUGACAUCACAUGUGGAGACAGGAGGUAUCCAGGAAAAGGAACCAAAUCAGGCAGGCAGCCCAGCGGGUCAAGAGGGAGCUUCGACUGCCCCUGUGGAAGAUGGUGGCCAGGGCUGCUGCCGCCAGGACACGCACGCGGCCGCCAGCCGGGAGGAAGGAGCGCUGCCAAAAGCGGCUGGAUAUCGCACAGAUUGUCCUGGCAGGAUAUAUAUGGUUUGUGAUCCAUACGAUUAGCACUGCUGCUUUCCAGUCCCACCGCUUUAAAGCGCAUGAAAUAGAGCCUUUUUUUGAUGAGCGCUUCCUUCCACAGCGAAAACACUCAAAGCGUUUUGCAUGGUAAAUAUAUGUAUUUAAAGAACCAUCAACUCGAAAAAUCACAAUACCGCUUGAAAAUGUGUAGUUGCAGCUAUUUAUAACGCGAGUGGCAGCAAAAGGAGGGGAAAAAAAUAAAAGCCCUUCCUGGCAGCCUGCUUCCUUGCUA